Molecule: ribosomal RNA, 253 nt
Filed under: uncultured bacterium
Lineage: Bacteria
Description: partial 16S ribosomal RNA
Rfam family: Bacterial small subunit ribosomal RNA
Source: RNAcentral
UACGUAGGGGGCGAGCGUUGUCCGGAAUUAUUGGGCGUAAAGGGCUCGUAGGCGGUUUGUCGCGUCGGGAGUGAAAAUCCAGGGCUUAACUCUGGACUGGCUUCCGAUACGGGCAGACUAGAGGUAUGCAGGGGAGAACGGAAUUCCUGGUGUAGCGGUGAAAUGCGCAGAUAUCAGGAGGAACACCGGUGGCGAAGGCGGCUCACUGGCCCGGUACUGACGCUGAGGCGCGAAAGCGUGGGGAGCAAACAGG